CUAUAAUCAAUCAACUCUCGUUGC
This 24-nucleotide non-coding RNA is filed under the name Arabidopsis thaliana (thale cress). Lineage: Eukaryota; Viridiplantae; Streptophyta; Magnoliopsida; Brassicales; Brassicaceae. The record is from RNAcentral.